RNAcentral lists this ribosomal RNA (495 nucleotides) under Listeria monocytogenes. RNAcentral describes it as "bacterial SSU rRNA". It matches the Rfam family "Bacterial small subunit ribosomal RNA", at positions 1014 to 1510 of the family's 1533-position model. The record is from RNAcentral. Lineage: Bacteria; Bacillati; Bacillota; Bacilli; Caryophanales; Listeriaceae.
CCCCUUCGGGGGCAAAGUGACAGGUGGUGCAUGGUUGUCGUCAGCUCGUGUCGUGAGAUGUUGGGUUAAGUCCCGCAACGAGCGCAACCCUUAUUGUUAGUUGCCAUCAUUUAGUUGGGCACUCUAGCGAGACUGCCGGUGACAAACCGGAGGAAGGUGGGGAUGACGUCAAAUCAUCAUGCCCCUUAUGACCUGGGCUACACACGUGCUACAAUGGGAAGUACAACGAGUUGCGAAGUCGCGAGGCUAAGCUAAUCUCUUAAAGCUUCUCUCAGUUCGGAUUGUAGGCUGCAACUCGCCUACAUGAAGCCGGAAUCGCUAGUAAUCGCGGAUCAGCACGCCGCGGUGAAUACGUUCCCGGGCCUUGUACACACCGCCCGUCACACCACGAGAGUUUGUAACACCCGAAGUCGGUGAGGUAACCUUUUUGGAGCCAGCCGCCUAAGGUGGGAUAGAUGAUUGGGGUGAAGUCGUAACAAGGUAGCCGUAUCGGAA